UGGGCUAGGGACGUCAGAUUCGCUGUUAACAGAAGCCAAACGCGAUUAGGCGGCUCGGUUGUGGUUUUCGGAUAAAAUUUCGAGAAGUUGUCGUUAAGUGAUAAGACGGACGUAACUGUUGUAGUUUUGUGAUAUUUUCUCUUUUUCUUUCUUUUUUGUUCGAUGACGGGAGGAAAGGGAGACGGAGCAGCUGCUAGCGUGACAAGAUUACCGAUUUAUUUGUGAACUUAAGAUUAAGGACGGACGUCCUAUAUUUAAUCGUAUAUCCAACGACAAGGACGCAGUGUGAUGUUUGGUUUGUCGCAAAUACAACUCUCAUUUUGCCAACUAAGAGUAUUUCACAAAAAUAUGUGAGAGGCGUGAUAAAUCAUAUUGGCAACCAAAAGUUUAGCAAUGAAGUAAACAACAACCAAAUAACCAUUAGCCUGCUGCCAAAUUUUUGGUUGGGGGCACAAACCAAACAGCAGCGGCUGUACUGGCACUGCUACGUCGAGGUCGGCCGGCCGCCGGGGACGUUGCUAGCUCUUGGAGGGCUGCUCCUCUGCUCUGUCUUCGUGCUCCAAGGUAUCCCAAAGAGGCCACCUACCUAUACGCGGACGAAGCAGCGGAAGUAUAUAUGAUGUUGUACACACGUCCACGUCUCGUGGCAAGUGGCAUCUGCAAAAUUGAAUUUUCGUUCGCCAGGCUUCUGCACCGUCCGAUUUCCCUCUAAACUCACGCUGGCCAUGGGAUCGCGCGCGCUCGUCGGCAAUACGAGGGGACGCGUGGCGAUACGCUAUUUGAACUUAUAAUGCUA
Molecule: long non-coding RNA, 796 nt
Filed under: Brachypodium distachyon (stiff brome)
Lineage: Eukaryota; Viridiplantae; Streptophyta; Magnoliopsida; Poales; Poaceae
Description: long non-coding RNA (BDIS_LNC003092)
Source: RNAcentral